GGGGUGUUCUCAGAGCAGGGGGCCUGAAGAAGUGGUUCCUCUGUUUAUAACACACCCAACAGGAACCUGGGUUCAUUAUGACAAGAGGCGCAAAACUUGGGGCCCUCCUGUGAACAAAUAGCCUACACGU
Molecule: small nucleolar RNA, 130 nt
Organism: Camelus dromedarius (Arabian camel)
Lineage: Eukaryota; Metazoa; Chordata; Mammalia; Artiodactyla; Camelidae
Source: Ensembl